This 271-nucleotide long non-coding RNA is filed under the name Homo sapiens (human). RNAcentral describes it as "HSALNT0087384". Lineage: Eukaryota; Metazoa; Chordata; Mammalia; Primates; Hominidae. The record is from RNAcentral.
CCAAAUGGAAGAGCAGUGGUGAUGAAGAGAAACGCCACUUAAGAGAGUGGGGCGGGCCAGGUUUCCUGUUGGCUGUUCCACCACAAAGCUGUGUGACCAUGUGUCACAUGGCUGAGUAGUAACUUCUUUUUACCUUAAUUUUAAAUUUAUUAUAGAUGCCCAGUUCAUUUUUACUGGGUGCGUGGUGAAGAAAUUAUUCCUCGUGGUCAUCGAAGAGGUCGAAUUGAUGACUUGCGAUACCAGAUAGAUGAUAAACCAAACAACCAGAUUC